This 373-nucleotide ribosomal RNA is filed under the name uncultured Bacteroidota bacterium. RNAcentral's name for it is "bacterial SSU rRNA". It matches the Rfam family "Bacterial small subunit ribosomal RNA", at positions 521 to 896 of the family's 1533-position model. Lineage: Bacteria; Pseudomonadati; Bacteroidota. The record is from RNAcentral.
UAAUACGGAGGGUCCAAGCGUUAUCCGGAUUUAUUGGGUUUAAAGGGUCCGUAGGCGGGAGAAUAAGUCAGUGGUGAAAGCCUGCAGCUCAACUGUAGAACUGCCAUUGAAACUGUUUUUCUUGAAUUUAGAUGAAGUGGGCGGAAUAUAUCAUGUAGCGGUGAAAUGCAUAGAUAUGAUAUAGAACACCGAUUGCGAAGGCAGCUCACUAAACUAACAUUGACGCUGAGGGACGAAAGUGUGGGGAGCGAACAGGAUUAGAUACCCUGGUAGUCCACACCGUAAACGAUGAUUACUCGAUGCUAGCGAUAUACUGUUAGUGUCUAAGCGAAAGCGAUAAGUAAUCCACCUGGGGAGUACGGUCGCAAGAUUG